GGGUUGAAUAAAAAUUGCCAGGUGGAGGUUGUCAGGGGGAAGGUGUUAAAUGGAAACACUAUAUAUAAACUGCAUGCUUUUUGCAAGGGACUGUGGCUUUCCUGCCCAGCCUGCCACCGCUGAACUGUAUAUAAGGUGGUUCUUCUCUUCAGCCCACUGUCAGUGGGCUCCCUCCCCCGUAUGUAAGCCCCCAGCAAACUCCAUUUCUUGUUUGCUGGCUCAGAGCCUCUUCUUUGGCCUCUUAAAAUAGGGGUUCGGCAUGACACCAUUGUGUGCAUAGAGGAGGCACGCGGAGGAGAGCGAACAGACUCCCAAAGUAAAACUUCAUCUACUCCUGAAUUUUGCCUGGACCCCACUCGGGUGGCCACAGGCGUGGAUUCGCAGUUGCGCUAUCUGCAUUGGAGCCCAUCUGCUGCUUUUCCUUGGACAAUGGCUGCCCGUUUAGGGUUGUGACCCAGGAGUCGCUGUGGUUAUCAACUGCGAGAGCUCAAACGGACACAUGAGAAGCAGCUUUGUUUAGCGUCCUUGACAUAACUAACCACAUAUUAACAACAGAGCCUUGUGGUAUAGAGGCUCCUGUUUGUUCAGAAUCUUAAUAGGUGGGCUUUGUGCACAUGGAUUUCUAAUACUGCUUACCCUGUAUUUUAAGUCAAAGAGGGUCUUUGUGUGAAGGAUUCUCCACCUCCUUUUCCCUUUCUACGAAGGAGAAAUAGGAAUGGCUCACUAGCCUGACACAAAGACCAAAAACUGGGGGCACUGUUCUCCUGAAAGACUAUGCAAGUGUGUGGAAGCUGUGUGCCUUUGGGAACUGGCUCUCUGAGGGCAGGGGAGAUGGUGCCCCCACGGCCCUGCUCUGGCAAGCCGGGGCUGGCCAUCCAGCAGCAUUGUGGAGCAGCAGCCUGGGAAGGCAUUGACAUUUUUGCACGUGGUGUUGAUGGUGGAGGUGGGGAGAGGUGUCCUGUGAAGCCAACUUAACGUGUGACUAUGGUCUCACUUGGAAAAAGUCUUUGCAGAUGUAAUUAAGUUGAAGUUCUCAAGAUGAGAUCAUCCUUGAUUAUCCAGUUGGUUCUAAAUCCAAUAACAAUCAUCUUCAUAAGAGACAGAAGGGAAGACAUAGAUGGGAAGCAGUAGAGCAUGUGAAGAUGGAUGCAGAGAUUACAGUGAUGCUGCCACAAGCCAAGGAACGUCU
RNAcentral lists this long non-coding RNA (1189 nucleotides) under Homo sapiens (human). RNAcentral's name for it is "HSALNT0021585". The record is from RNAcentral. Lineage: Eukaryota; Metazoa; Chordata; Mammalia; Primates; Hominidae.